CGGUUCUUCUAUGGAAUCGGCAACUUAAUAGGGAAGUCCGGUGAAAGUCCGGCACGGUCCCGCCACUGUAACAGGGAGCAUACACGCUUUUACAACCCACUGUUCUUGAAGAAUGGGAAGGGCGCGUUUAUGCGAUGAACUGGAGUCAGGAGACCUGCCUUGAAAU
Molecule: non-coding RNA, 166 nt
Filed under: Brevibacillus massiliensis
Lineage: Bacteria; Bacillati; Bacillota; Bacilli; Caryophanales; Paenibacillaceae
Source: RNAcentral